GUGACUAACUUCCUGUGGCUUUGGGGUAGACAUGUUAGACUCCUCGUGUGGGUAUUGGGCCUCUGCAGUUGAGUCCAUGAGAAGGGGUGGGUGUGGUAUGGUGUGGAGCCUUGGGAAAGGGUGAGUGGGGGCUGGAGGGAGAGUUAACGAAUGGUCAGUCCCUGUAUGAUCAGCCAGCUGGCGGGUGGGGGAGGAGCUGAUGUUUUCCUACAAUCAGCACCCAGAAAGCUGUUCUCUAGAGGGAAAAUGUGAGGGCAUUUUACAGUCCCAUGUAUUGUUACUAACACUCUUGAACACUGGUUUCCUGAGAGUCACUGCUACAAAGGGAUUGUUGGUCCCCUAAGAGACUGGCAGUCUCUAUAGGGCCGCUGAUUUAUGACUGCGGCAGUCUCUAUAGAGCCGCUGAUUUAUGACUGCAACCUGAAGUUGGCGUGGCAGUCCUCCUCUUUGCCCACCUGAUUGGCAGGGGGCAGUGGCUUGAAGAGAUGGGUUGCUAAGCAGCCUGGCCUGGACGUGGUGCCCUGCCAGGUUGAAUGAAUAGCUGCAGUGUUCUGAGGAAUGGGGAAUUUGGCCUGUCCCAGCAUCAGGAGGGACUUUCUGGAAAGGGGGCUAAGACUGAGUCUAGGCUCAGUGUAGGGAACUGGGUGGGCUUCCUGGCACCUUCCUUUUGGAGCCGUGGUGUGGUGUGCCAUGUCUGUGUAAGUGGAGCCUGCGGAGCUCUGCACCUGUCCUCGAAAAGGUCUUGUUGCAGGGUCUUCCUGUCUCAUCUCCUCCCUCGCUCAUCAGCGGGAAAAGACAUGGGGUCCGACAGCUUGCUGUCAACUCUGCUUCUGCUGUUUUGAUGAUUAGCGCAUGUGGCCCUUGAGAUUGUUGAUCUAACUGGGUUUGAGGGGCUGGGUGUCAGCAACCCAGAAAUGGGGGAAACAGGUGUGUUCUUGCCAUUUUACACUUGAGACAGUGGAGGCAAGGGAAGACUUGUGACAGAGGGCUUGGACCGUGGCUUUCUCACCGUUGAUUUUGGUUUAGAUGAAACAUUUCCUACGAAACAGUGAAAUCCAGAAAACGUCUAAGAAGCCUUUGCUCUCAGGUUUCUGCAGGACAUGUGGAUGUAGCUGUCAUGGGACGCUGUUUGCAUUAGGGAUUGGAGGAAGCUUUUCUUUGGAGGGAGUAUAAAGCCAGUGUAGAGGGAGCUGAGAGCCAGAGAGAAGCUUCCUUGAGCUUGGGGUCUCUCUGGGAUCCCCAUUCUGCUGCUUAUUAAAGGUUCGCUGCAUGCUUGCUCUGAGGUUCCAUGAGCUGCCCCUUUAUCCUCAUGAUGAAGCCUCCCUUCUUUGAACUAAAAAUAAGAAGAGUAUCUUGUGAGCAGCUAGUCUGCAUUUUCAUCUCGGGAGUCUGCUGUUACAAAGCAGUCACCUCUUGCUUCCUUGGUACCAGCGGUAGAGGUGGUGAUGUCUGGGCUGGCUGGGCCCUUGAGCUCUGCACUCCAUUCAGGCAAGCUUCCUCAGACCCAGGGGAGAGCAAUAGGCAGGGUAUACGUUGCCCAGGUGGCCGCAGCAGGCUUGCUGGCGUGUGUUCUCCUAAGUGAUGGUGGGUUUGGUCACUGAAAAGGCAUGGAGGAGAGACAGGCGUGGGGCUCGGGAGCAUCCGGCUGCUGCAAUGUGGGAAGAAGAGGGUUCGGAGGCUCGGGGGUGCCAGAGGCCCCUGAAGCAUCAGCUUACCCUUAGUGUUCCUGGCGGUGCUUUUAUUUUUUCUCCUUCCUUAAAAAUCCUGAGUGGUCUCAAUGGAGAGUAGCUGGCUCAGGAGCCCCAGUCUUACCUCCUCGUAUUUGUUUCUCUUUUGCAGGAUAAUACAGAAGCAGAAAAGCGAGACCCCCAGGAACUCGUGGCCUCCUUUUCUGAAAGAGUUCGGAACAUGUCGCCUGAUGAAAUCAAGAUCCCGCCAGAACCCCCUGGCAGAUGUUCAAAUCACUUGCAAGACAAGAUCCAGAAGCUUUAUGAACGAAAGAUAAAGGAGGGAAUGGAUAUGAACUACAUUAUCCAAAGGAAGAAAGAAUUUCGGAACCCUAGCAUCUACGAGAAGCUGAUCCAGUUCUGUGCCAUUGACGAGCUUGGCACCAACUACCCAAAGGAUAUGUUUGAUCCCCAUGGCUGGUCUGAGGACUCCUACUAUGAGGCAUUAGCCAAGGCCCAGAAGAUUGAGAUGGACAAAUUGGAAAAGGCCAAAAAGGAGCGAACGAAAAUUGAGUUUGUGACGGGCACCAAGAAAGGCACCACGACCAACGCCACAUCCACCACCACUACCACUGCUAGCACAGCUGUUGCAGAUGCUCAGAAGAGAAAGAGCAAGUGGGACUCGGCUAUCCCAGUGACAACGAUAGCCCAGCCCACCAUCCUCACCACCACGGCCACCCUGCCAGCUGUCGUCACGGUCACCACCAGCGCCAGCGGCUCCAAGACCACCGUCAUCUCUGCUGUGGGCACCAUUGUGAAGAAGGCCAAGCAGUGACCUGAGGGGCCACCCUAGGACUUGAAAGGACCGUGCCGCCCAGUGACCACUGCCCAGUGGGAGGCGCCACUUUGUAUAUUUCAGGACUGGGACCUGCUCCCCAGAUGCCACCUGAGAGGAGCUUCUGUGUGGCAUUCCAGAUGGAAGGACAGGCAGCGCGGGAGCCAGGCACUGUGGACAGGGUCUGUCCACGCACCACCUGGGGUCUGCCGCCUAUUAAAAGUGCCAUAUUCUUACCUCUUGGCAUUUCAGA
Molecule: small RNA, 2755 nt
Filed under: Pongo abelii (Sumatran orangutan)
Lineage: Eukaryota; Metazoa; Chordata; Mammalia; Primates; Hominidae
Description: retained intron
Source: RNAcentral